GGAUGAACGCUGGCGGCGUGCCUAAUACAUGCAAGUCGAGCGAACGGACGAGAAGCUUGCUUCUCUGAUGUUAGCGGCGGACGGGUGAGUAACACGUGGAUAACCUACCUAUAAGACUGGGAUAACUUCGGGAAACCGGAGCUAAUACCGGAUAAUAUUUUGAACCGCAUGGUUCAAAAGUGAAAGACGGUCUUGCUGUCACUUAUAGAUGGAUCCGCGCUGCAUUAGCUAGUUGGUAAGGUAACGGCUUACCAAGGCAACGAUGCAUAGCCGACCUGAGAGGGUGAUCGGCCACACUGGAACUGAGACACGGUCCAGACUCCUACGGGAGGCAGCAGUAGGGAAUCUUCCGCAAUGGGCGAAAGCCUGACGGAGCAACGCCGCGUGAGUGAUGAAGGUCUUCGGAUCGUAAAACUCUGCUAUUAGGGAAGAACAUAUGUGUAAGUAACUGUGCACAUCUUGACGGUACCUAAUCAGAAAGCCACGGCUAACUACGUG
Molecule: ribosomal RNA, 498 nt
Filed under: uncultured bacterium
Lineage: Bacteria
Description: partial 16S ribosomal RNA
Rfam family: Bacterial small subunit ribosomal RNA
Source: RNAcentral